RNAcentral lists this ribosomal RNA (878 nucleotides) under uncultured archaeon. Its description in RNAcentral is "partial 16S ribosomal RNA". The record is from RNAcentral.
ACGCUCCACCCGUUGUGGUGCUCCCCCGCCAAUUCCUUUAAGUUUCAGCCUUGCGGCCGUACUUCCCAGGUGGCUCGCUUCACGGCUUCCCUACGGCACCGACAACGGUCGCACCGUGGCCGACACCUAGCGAGUAUCGUUUACGGCUAGGACUACCCGGGUAUCUAAUCCGGUUCGUGCCCCUAGCUUUCGUCCCUUGCCGUCAGGUCCGUUCUGGUGAGACGCCUUCGCCACUGGUGGUCCUUCAAGGAUUACAAGAUUUCACCCCUACCCCUGAAGUACCUCUCACCUCUCCCGGCCUCGAGCCGAACAGUAUCUCCUGAAAGCCCAACAGUUGAGCUGCUGGAUUUCUCAAGAGACUUAUCCGGCCGGCUACAGACCCUUUAGACCCAAUAAUAACGGUUACCACUCGAGCCGCCGGUGUUACCGCGGCGGCUGGCACCGGUCUUGCCCGGCCCUUGCUAUGCAAUGCUUUUUAGGCAUCACGACAGCCAGAUUUGUAACCUGGCACUCGAGGUCCCCUUAUCGCCGUUGCCGGCAUUGUAAAGUUUUCGCGCCUGCUGCACCCCGUAGGGCCUGGAUUCGUGUCUCAGAAUCCAUCUCCGGGCUCUUGCUCUCACAACCCGUACCCGUCGUAGGCUAGUAGGUACGCUACACCCACUACUACCUGAUAGGCCGCAGACCCAUCCUCUGGCGCCGGAGCUUUCGAUCUCGGGGCACUCCAGCGACCGAGAUCUAUCGGGGAUUAUACCCAGUUUCCCGGGUUUAUACCCGUCCGGAGGGUAGGUUGUCCACGUGUUACUGAGCAGUACGCCAUGUAUUGCUACAUUCGACUCGCAUGGCUUAGUCGAACCUCGAUAGCAGUAACCUCCGGCGGG